GCUCAGGACGAACGCUGGCGGCGUGCCUAAAACAUGCAAGUCGAACGGUGUAGCAAUACACAGUGGCGAACGGCGGAGUAAUACAUAAGCAACGUGCCCUGAAGACUGGGAUAGUCAGAGGAAACUCUGGGUAAUACCAGAUGUGGCCGUUUCCCCGCAUGGGGAGACGAUCAAAUGGUUUUUCGCUUCAGGAGCGGCUUAUGGCCUAUCAGGUAGUUGGUGGGGUAAUGGCCUACCAAGCCGACGACGGGUAGCGGGUCUGAGAGGAUGAUCCGCUCGAGUGGGACUGAGACACGGCCCACACACCUACGGGUGGCAGCAGUUGGGAAUCUUGCACAAUGGGGGAAACCCUGAUGCAGCGACGCCGCGUGGAGGAUGAAGGAUCUAGGUCUGUAAACUCCUUUUUCAGGGAAAGACUUAGGACGGUACCCUGAGAAUAAGGACCGGCUAACUACGUGCCAGCAGCCGCGGUAAGACGUAGGGUCCAAGCGUUGUCCGGAUUUACUGGGCGUAAAGAGCGCGUAGGCGGCUCGUUAAGUGUGAAGCUAAAUCUCUAGGCUCAACCUGGAAACUAUUUCGCAUACUGGCAAGCUAGAGUGAUGAAGAGGUUUGUGGAAUUCCUGGUGUAGCGGUGAAAUGCGUUGAUAUCAGGAGGAACACCCAUGGCGAAGGCAGCAAACUGGUCAUCAACUGACGCUGAGGCGCGAAAGCGUGGGUAGCAAACAGGAUUAGAUACCCUGGUAGUCCACGCCCUAAACGAUGGAUACUAGGCGUAAGAGGUAUCGACCCCUCUUGUGCCGCAGCUAACGCAUUAAGUAUCCCGCCUGGGGAGUACGGCCG
RNAcentral lists this ribosomal RNA (840 nucleotides) under uncultured bacterium. RNAcentral describes it as "bacterial SSU rRNA". It matches the Rfam family "Bacterial small subunit ribosomal RNA", at positions 22 to 888 of the family's 1533-position model. The record is from RNAcentral.